CCUACGGGUGGCAGCAGUGGGGAAUAUUGGACAAUGGGCGAAAGCCUGAUCCAGCCAUGCCGCGUGUGUGAAGAAGGCCUUCGGGUUGUAAAGCACUUUCAGUGGGGAAGAAAGCCUUGGGGCUAAUACCCUCGAGGAAGGACAUCACCUACAGAAGAAGCACCGGCUAACUCCGUGCCAGCAGCCGCGGUAAUACGGAGGGUGCGAGCGUUAAUCGGAAUUACUGGGCGUAAAGCGCGCGUAGGCGGUCUGAUAAGCCGGUUGUGAAAGCCCCGGGCUCAACCUGGGAACGGCAUCCGGAACUGUCAGGCUAGAGUGCAGGAGAGGAAGGUAGAAUUCCCGGUGUAGCGGUGAAAUGCGUAGAGAUCGGGAGGAAUACCAGUGGCGAAGGCGGCCUUCUGGACUGACACUGACGCUGAUGUGCGAAAGCGUGGGUAGCAAACAGGAUUAGAUACCCGGGUAGUC
Molecule: ribosomal RNA, 465 nt
Filed under: Vreelandella stevensii
Lineage: Bacteria; Pseudomonadati; Pseudomonadota; Gammaproteobacteria; Oceanospirillales; Halomonadaceae
Description: partial 16S ribosomal RNA
Rfam family: Bacterial small subunit ribosomal RNA
Source: RNAcentral